This is a long non-coding RNA of Pleuronectes platessa (European plaice), 539 nucleotides long. RefSeq lists it as uncharacterized. Lineage: Eukaryota; Metazoa; Chordata; Actinopteri; Pleuronectiformes; Pleuronectidae. The record is from RefSeq and is a predicted model, not a curated record. The transcript is spliced from 3 exons.
CGAAAGUAAGCGGGACGGUUUGACAUUUUGGGAAAUAUGGUUCUUCCCUUUCUUGCUGAGGGAUAACUUUUAAGAUUAACACCAAUGUCAGGUUUUUAUGGUAAAUACGUAGCUGGAGAAAGCCCCUGGCUGGCUUUCUCUUUCUUGUAGGCCGUAUACCUGCUUAACAGAGUGCAUGCACCAUGAGUUUGUUUUUACAGAAAAUCUUGACAGAGUUGCUCUUGAGGAGGGGUACAGCCUCUCGUGACAAGCAGGAGGUUCUACAGUACUGAAAAACAGAUGGGGGUUAUCAAGAGGAGAAAGACUGACGAUUAGUGGUGUCCAAGGAGAAAACACUGAGUCAAGCUCCUAGACUCAGUUUGCUGUGUUACACAGCUCCCCCUGUUGUGGAUUGACUGGAGAUCAAACCAGUGUGGAUUUCAGGGAUCAGAUUUGACUGCUUCACUUCACAACCUAUCGAGCAUGGCCAGAUGCAACGCAGCUACAGUGACUGAUCAAGGGGCCUCGUGUCAGAGCAUGAGGCAAUGCAACCUGCUACA